Long non-coding RNA from Pseudophryne corroboree (corroboree frog), 441 nucleotides. RefSeq lists it as uncharacterized. Lineage: Eukaryota; Metazoa; Chordata; Amphibia; Anura; Myobatrachidae. The record is from RefSeq and is a predicted model, not a curated record. The transcript is spliced from 3 exons.
AGGUAUUGGCACCUGGUGAGGACCUUCUGUCGCUGUCCGAAUGGACCAAUUGGAGGAAAGUAAUAGUAUUGGCGAAGGUGAGGACCUACUCUCAAUUUCCGAUUGGAUAAAUUGGAAUCAAGUAAUAGUGAGGUCCCUGGAAAAUUGCUCUGUGAUGCUGAAGAAGAAGAAGAGAACUGCAGGAGAGGCAGUGCUGCGGAAGGUGAGUAAUUAAAGACUAAAUAAGCUAAUUAGAAAAUUCAAAUUGCUUAAUUAGUCAUUAGGAGGGUUACCACAGCAGUUCAUAACAAUUCCGACCAUUUUUCCUAAAGAUAUAGAUUUUUAGGAAAAACUGGCUUGAAGGCAUUCCUGAUUGUAUGGGAUGUCCCACAGCAGUUAGACAUGAAACGUAUAGAGUUUGGACAUGGUAGAACUCUCCCAAUAGUUACUGUGUAUACUUUA